This is a long non-coding RNA of Oxyura jamaicensis (ruddy duck), 835 nucleotides long. RefSeq lists it as uncharacterized. The transcript has 3 exons. The record is from RefSeq and is a predicted model, not a curated record. NCBI's taxonomy places the organism in Eukaryota, Metazoa, Chordata, Aves, Anseriformes, Anatidae.
UUAGGAUUUGGAUAUGUUAGUGCCAGUUACUGAAAGCAUGCCCUUCUGGUAGGCUCUCACUAGGGUAUUUGCUGCAGGACUGCCAGUUCCAGCAGGGAUUUUGAAGAGGAAAUCAUUAUCCAAGCACAUCUUCCUCAAAUCUGCCUCCUACUGUUGCAUGUGAGAGCACCUGAAGGUAGCUGCCAGAGCAGCUGUGGUUCCAAGUGCAGUGCUCCCCACUGGGCUCUUCCUCCCAGAGCAAGGCUGAGCCCCUGCUAGGAAUUAAGACCGGAGCUUACAACACACACAGCCUUCUUCUGCCACUGAAUCCAUGGCACAUCGGCUGCAGGAGAAGCGUACUUGGUUCUGUGCCUUGGCCUGAUUCCAGGAGUAGGCCUAGAGGAGAGUCUGGAGUCUCCUCUGGCAAAGAGGAUGUGACUUAAGGAGCAUCACAUGAAACCAGCAGAUCUGAAUCAAACAGGGCAUCCUUCCUCGUGCAGCAUGCUGCAGAGCUGUGGCUCACCUUGCCACGAAACAUAAAUGGUGAAUCCUUGUGUGGCUCAAAAAGCAAUCGGAUGAAUCCAAGGAAGAAAUGUCCAUUGGGGACUAUUAAAUACAAAAGUUUUCAUCACCAGACCACAGCCUGGGGACACAGCUAAUAUGUUCCAGCAAAAGGGGCUUUGGGGACUGCUCCAAUCAUUUUGGCUAACUUCAUCAGGUAUCUGUCAGACCACUGAGAAAGGCUUCCAGUGCUAACCUACACACCGUAUCAGCAACCCACUGCUUCUGCUCCCUUUGCUGUCUGCAUAAAGGUCACAGAUAAUGAUGAAAAAUAAAUAAAUAAGCCAAGAAAACC